AUGCAAUCAGACACUAUAUGUUAUUAAUGUGUCCAUUAGUUGAAGCCAGAUUGUUACUAUGAGAGUGUUGUCACACAAAACAAACAAGUCACAUAGAACACUCCCUACAGCCAUCAGUCAAUAGUAUUACAUGUUAAGUAAUGUACCUUCACACUUCACUGGCGCCUAAACCUCAUCAUUUUAAUAAUUCAAUGUAAGACCCAACAAACUGAAGCUUCAACAACAACAUAAUCUGUUAAAACAUAUGUUGUCAGCGACAUGAGUCGGUAAGGAGAGCAC
Molecule: long non-coding RNA, 279 nt
Organism: Danaus plexippus (monarch butterfly)
Lineage: Eukaryota; Metazoa; Arthropoda; Insecta; Lepidoptera; Nymphalidae
Exons: 2
Source: RefSeq, a predicted model, not a curated record